RNAcentral lists this ribosomal RNA (498 nucleotides) under uncultured bacterium. RNAcentral's name for it is "partial 16S ribosomal RNA". It matches the Rfam family "Bacterial small subunit ribosomal RNA", at positions 28 to 507 of the family's 1533-position model. The record is from RNAcentral.
GACGAACGCUGGCGGCGUGCCUAAUACAUGCAAGUCGAGCGGACGGAUGGGAGCUUGCUCCCAGACCGUCAGCGGCGGACGGGUGAGUAACACGUGGGCAACCUGCCUGUAAGACUGGGAUAACUCCGGGAAACCGGGGCUAAUACCGGAUAACUCUUUCCCUCACAUGAGGGAAAGCUGAAAGAUGGCAUCUCGCUAUCACUUACAGAUGGGCCCGCGGCGCAUUAGCUAGUUGGUGAGGUAACGGCUCACCAAGGCGACGAUGCGUAGCCGACCUGAGAGGGUGAUCGGCCACACUGGGACUGAGACACGGCCCAGACUCCUACGGGAGGCAGCAGUAGGGAAUCUUCCGCAAUGGACGAAAGUCUGACGGAGCAACGCCGCGUGAGUGAUGAAGGUUUUCGGAUCGUAAAACUCUGUUGUCGGGGAAGAACAAGUACCGGAGUAACUGCCGGUACCUUGACGGUACCUGACCAGAAAGCCACGGCUAACUACGUG